AUACGUAGGGGGCGAGCGUUGUCCGGAAUGAUUGGGCGUAAAGGGCGCGUAGGCGGCCUGUUAAGUCUGGAGUGAAAGUCCUGUUUUCAAGAUGGGAAUUGCUUUGGAUACUGAUGGGCUUGAGUGCAGGAGAGGUUAUCGGAAUUCCCGGUGUAGCGGUGAAAUGCGUAGAGAUCGGGAGGAACACCAGUGGCGAAGGCGGGUAACUGGACAGUAACUGACGCUGAGGCGCGAAAGCGUGGGGAGCAAACAGGAUUAGAUGCCCUGGUAGUCCACGCCAUAAACGAUGAAUACUAGGUGUAGGGGGUAUCGACCCCCUCUGUGCCGACGUUAACACAUUAAGUAUUCCACCUGGGGAGUACGGCCGCAAGGCUGAAACUCAAAGGAAUUGACGGGG
RNAcentral lists this ribosomal RNA (397 nucleotides) under uncultured bacterium. RNAcentral's name for it is "partial 16S ribosomal RNA". It matches the Rfam family "Bacterial small subunit ribosomal RNA", at positions 523 to 918 of the family's 1533-position model. The record is from RNAcentral.